AACGAGCGCUGGCGGCAUGCCUAACACAUGCAAGUCGAACGAGACCUUCGGGUCUAGUGGCGCACGGGUGCGUAACGCGUGGGAACCUGCCCUUAGGUUCGGAAUAACUCCCCGAAAGGGGUGCUAAUACCGGAUAAUGUCUUCGGACCAAAGAUUUAUCGCCUUUGGAUGGGCCCGCGUUGGAUUAGCUAGUUGGUAGGGUAAAAGCCUACCAAGGCGACGAUCCAUAGCUGGUCUGAGAGGAUGAUCAGCCACACUGGGACUGAGACACGGCCCAGACUCCUACGGAAGGCAGCAGUGGGGAAUAUUGGACAAUGGGCGAAAGCCUGAUCCAGCAAUGCCGCGUGAGUGAUGAAGGCCUUAGGGUUGUAAAGCUCUUUUACCCGGGAUGAUAAUGACAGUACCGGGAGAAUAAGCUCCGGCUAACUCCGUG
Molecule: ribosomal RNA, 433 nt
Filed under: uncultured bacterium
Lineage: Bacteria
Description: partial 16S ribosomal RNA
Rfam family: Bacterial small subunit ribosomal RNA
Source: RNAcentral